RNAcentral lists this ribosomal RNA (438 nucleotides) under uncultured Leisingera sp. RNAcentral's name for it is "bacterial SSU rRNA". It matches the Rfam family "Bacterial small subunit ribosomal RNA", at positions 97 to 570 of the family's 1533-position model. The record is from RNAcentral. Lineage: Bacteria; Pseudomonadati; Pseudomonadota; Alphaproteobacteria; Rhodobacterales; Roseobacteraceae.
GGCGGACGGGUUAGUAACGCGUGGGAACGUGCCCUUCUCUACGGAAUAGCCUCUGGAAACGGGGAGUAAUACCGUAUACGCCCUUUGGGGGAAAGAUUUAUCGGAGAAGGAUCGGCCCGCGUUAGAUUAGGUAGUUGGUGGGGUAACGGCCUACCAAGCCUACGAUCUAUAGCUGGUUUUAGAGGAUGAUCAGCAACACUGGGACUGAGACACGGCCCAGACUCCUACGGGGGGCAGCAGUGGGGAAUCUUAGACAAUGGGGGCAACCCUGAUCUAGCCAUGCCGCGUGAGUGAUGAAGGCCUUAGGGUCGUAAAGCUCUUUCGCCUGUGAUGAUAAUGACAGUAGCAGGUAAAGAAACCCCGGCUAACUCCGUGCCAGCAGCCGCGGUAAUACGGAGGGGGUUAGCGUUGUUCGGAAUUACUGGGCGUAAAGCGCGC